RNAcentral lists this ribosomal RNA (254 nucleotides) under uncultured bacterium. RNAcentral's name for it is "partial 16S ribosomal RNA". It matches the Rfam family "Bacterial small subunit ribosomal RNA", at positions 524 to 776 of the family's 1533-position model. The record is from RNAcentral.
UACAGAGGUCCCGAGCGUUGUUCGGAUUCAUUGGGCGUAAAGGGCGCGUAGGUGGCCCGGUCAGUUCGUGGUGAAAGCGCGGGGCUCAACCCUGCGUCGGCCAUGAAUACUGCCGCGGCUGGAGCACUGUAGAGGCAGGCGGAAUUCCGGGUGUAGCGGUGGAAUGCGUAGAGAUCCGGAAGAACACCGGUGGCGAAGGCGGCCUGCUGGGCAGUUGCUGACACUGAGGCGCGACAGCGUGGGGAGCAAACAGG